Molecule: small RNA, 77 nt
Filed under: Flavobacterium aquicola
Lineage: Bacteria; Pseudomonadati; Bacteroidota; Flavobacteriia; Flavobacteriales; Flavobacteriaceae
Description: Flavo-1 RNA
Rfam family: Flavo-1 RNA
Source: RNAcentral
CUUUAGCCCUGAUGGAAGUGGAAAUCCUCUUGUGCUGAAUUCAGCAUAAGAGAUUGCAACGGACAGCAGGAGCAAUA